GGAGGGAUCGCAUAGUGGUCUAGUGCGGGCGCCUGCUAAGCGCUUGCCUCGGGUAACCGGGGUCGGGAGUUCGAAUCUCCCUCCCUCCG
Molecule: transfer RNA, 89 nt
Filed under: Dehalogenimonas alkenigignens
Lineage: Bacteria; Bacillati; Chloroflexota; Dehalococcoidia; Dehalococcoidales; Dehalococcoidaceae
Rfam family: tRNA
About the family: Transfer RNA (tRNA) molecules are approximately 80 nucleotides in length.
Source: Rfam by way of RNAcentral